UAGGGAAUCUUCCGCAAUGGGCGAAAGCCUGACGGAGCAACGCCGCGUGAGUGAUGAAGGUCUUCGGAUCGUAAAACUCUGUUAUUAGGGAAGAACAAAUGUGUAAGUAACUAUGCACGUCUUGACGGUACCUAAUCAGAAAGCCACGGCUAACUACGUGCCAGCAGCCGCGGUAAUACGUAGGUGGCAAGCGUUAUCCGGAAUUAUUGGGCGUAAAGCGCGCGUAGGCGGUUUUUUAAGUCUGAUGUGAAAGCCCACGGCUCAACCGUGGAGGGUCAUUGGAAACUGGAAAACUUGAGUGCAGAAGAGGAAAGUUGAAUUCCAUGUGUAGCGGUGAAAUGCGCAGAGAUAUGGAGGAACACCAGUGGCGAAGGCGACUUUCUGGUCUGUAACUGACGCUGAUGUGCGAAAGCGUGGGGAUCAAACAGG
This 429-nucleotide ribosomal RNA is filed under the name Actinomycetes bacterium. Its description in RNAcentral is "Actinobacteria bacterium partial 16S ribosomal RNA". It matches the Rfam family "Bacterial small subunit ribosomal RNA", at positions 355 to 776 of the family's 1533-position model. Lineage: Bacteria; Bacillati; Actinomycetota; Actinomycetes. The record is from RNAcentral.